RNAcentral lists this ribosomal RNA (428 nucleotides) under Bacteroidota bacterium. RNAcentral describes it as "Bacteroidetes bacterium partial 16S ribosomal RNA". It matches the Rfam family "Bacterial small subunit ribosomal RNA", at positions 355 to 776 of the family's 1533-position model. Lineage: Bacteria; Pseudomonadati; Bacteroidota. The record is from RNAcentral.
UAGGGAAUCUUCCGCAAUGGACGCAAGUCUGACGGAGCAACGCCGCGUGAGUGAAGAAGGAUUUCGGUUCGUAAAACUCUGUUGUUAGAGAAGAAUAGCGCAUAGAGUAACUGUUAUGCGUGUGACGGUAUCUAACCAGAAAGCCACGGCUAACUACGUGCCAGCAGCCGCGGUAAUACGUAGGUGGCAAGCGUUGUCCGGAUUUAUUGGGCGUAAAGCGAGCGCAGGCGGUUAGAAAAGUCUGAAGUGAAAGGCAGUGGCUCAACCAUUGUAGGCUUUGGAAACUGUUUAACUUGAGUGCAGAAGGGGAGAGUGGAAUUCCAUGUGUAGCGGUGAAAUGCGUAGAUAUAUGGAGGAACACCGGUGGCGAAAGCGACUCUCUGGUCUGUAACUGACGCUGAGGCUCGAAAGCGUGGGUAGCAAACAGG